Salvelinus sp. IW2-2015 is the source of this 419-nucleotide non-coding RNA. The record is from RefSeq and is a predicted model, not a curated record. Lineage: Eukaryota; Metazoa; Chordata; Actinopteri; Salmoniformes; Salmonidae.
GUAGGGCUGAAGAGCACAGUCAGGGAGUAUAUUAGAGGUAUGGGGAGUAGGGUCAUGUGGUAGGGUCGAAGAGCAGCCAGGGAGUGUAUUAGAGGUAUGGGGAGUAGGGUCAUGUGGUAGGGCUGAAGAGCACAGUCAGGGAGUAUAUUAGCGGUAUGGGGAGUAGGGUCAUGUGGUAGGGCUGAAGAGCAGUCAGGGAGUAUAUCUGGGUGGUGGAAGGUCAGUAUGCACUUACUGAGUACAUGCCUUAUGCUAGCAUCAAAUAGGCUUCCUGCAUUUAUCGCAUCAAGUAGCCUGAUUUCAGAUGUGUCAAUGUAAACAGCUCUUCUUGCAAAGCAUGUUGACGUUUUAAAUCCAAAUAUUGGGGCUAUAUUAAUCCAACUAUCCACAAUAAUCAUACACUGAGUAUACCAAACAUU